Molecule: small nuclear RNA, 295 nt
Filed under: Tursiops truncatus (common bottlenose dolphin)
Lineage: Eukaryota; Metazoa; Chordata; Mammalia; Artiodactyla; Delphinidae
Description: 7SK RNA (ENSTTRG00000024437.1)
Source: RNAcentral
UGGUAUGUGGAGGCCAUCUGUAACACAUCUCUAAGGGUCACAGUGGUUUCAGCGGAUCUGGUGGGAAAGGCAGCUACUUCCUCUUUUUCUCAUCAUUCUACUUGGGCCCUUGCCAAAGAUGCACAUUUGGUCAAGAAGCACAGUGUUCCGAACAGAAGGACCAUUUAUCUUAUCAAGGGUAUUCAAGGAUUUGUUCUUUCUCACUGCGAGUUCUAAAAAGGUUUAUUUAGGGCCAGAGAGAGGAUGACAUAGGACAGUAAAUUUUCCAAGACUGCCAUUCACUGAAAAACUGUUU